CUCCGAUAGCAACGAAACGUGACCGUACUCUAUUGUUGCAGCGAAUAUAUACUCUCUCGGGGGUGUAUUACCGCUGCUUAGUGUGUGUAUGUCCUCGUGGUAUACCACACAUUAAACUAUAGAGACCGCUGUUUCUUCUUUAAACCAGAGGAAGGAUACGGCAAUAACAGGUCUGUGAUGCCCUCAGAUGUUCCGGGCUGCACACGUGCUACAAUGAUCAUUGCACUGUGCAUCUAACCCAAUGUGCGUGGACGCCACGUAUUGUAUCCGCUUCGGUGGUUGCAGUACUGUUGGUCGACCACGCCGAACCUACUUCGAAAGUAAACAUUUCUCAGUGGGUAAUCCAUUAGAAGUAAUGACUCGCAUAGACCUUGGUACACUUAUAUGUACGCGCAGGUUCUACCCGGCCUUGCCUUUGUGUAAGGUGCAGUGCGUAGCUUGUUGUUUUCGUACGUACCACUCCGUAUUAAUUCAUACGUGGGGAUAGAUCAUUGUUUAAUUGUUGGUCUCGGUCUUAACUAGGAAUGCCUUGUACGGGUCUUUGGUUCAACAUACCACCCGGAAUACGUCCCUGCCCUUUGUACACACCGCCCGUCGCUCUUACCGAUGGAUUAUACUAUGAAUCUAUAGGACUGCCAAAGUGACCCUCGCGGCGCUUAGUGGAAAUAUAUA
RNAcentral lists this ribosomal RNA (672 nucleotides) under Ammonia sp. Its description in RNAcentral is "SSU rRNA". It matches the Rfam family "Eukaryotic small subunit ribosomal RNA", at positions 1323 to 1759 of the family's 1831-position model. Lineage: Eukaryota; Foraminifera; Rotaliida; Rotaliidae. The record is from RNAcentral.